Molecule: ribosomal RNA, 268 nt
Filed under: uncultured prokaryote
Description: partial 16S ribosomal RNA
Rfam family: Bacterial small subunit ribosomal RNA
Source: RNAcentral
CAGCCGCCGCGGUAAUACAGAGGGUGCGAGCGUUAAUCGGAAUUACUGGGCGUAAAGCGUGCGUAGACGGUCAUGUAAGUCGGGUGUGAAAGCCCCGGGCUCAACCUGGGAAUUGCAUUCGAGACUGCAUGGCUAGGGUGCGGAAGAGGGAAGCGGAAUUUCCGGUGUAGCGGUGAAAUGCGUAGAUAUCGGAAGGAACACCAGUGGCGAAAGCGGCUUCCUGGUCCGACACCGACGUUCAGGCACGAAAGCGUGGGGAGCAAACAGG